CCCGGUCCGGAUCCAACCCCAACCCCCGCCCACCACCACCAGCUCCACACUCCCCUUUGCUUCCCGCCGCCCGUCGAAGCCGUCUCCGGCGAGGACCCGACCGGCGACACCGCCUCUUCCCUGGCGGCGCCCUUUCCUUCCUCCCCGCGCUCUGGCCGUGGCUCCUCCUCUCUUCGUCCGGGGCCCCAGGUCACCUCCUCGCGUCUGGUUUGGGUUCACUCCUCCUCGGUUCGUCGUCCGUCCGCUUAGGCUUAGAGCGAGCGCCCGAUUUGAUUUUGCUCGUGCUCGGUUCUUUGGUUCACAGGUCGCGCGUGGUUUGGUUUUUCUCGUCCUCGCGGUCGCCUGUUUGGGGCCGCGCCUGGUUUGAUUUCGCUCGUCCCUCGCCCUCGUCUGUGCAGAGUCGCGUCCGAUUCGAUUUCGCUCGUCCUCGCCGUCGUCCGUGUAGAGUCGCAUCCGAUUCAAUUUUGCUCGUCCUCGCCGUUGUCCCGAUGCGUGCGCUCGCUCGCUCGCAUGUUCUUUGGUCGUCUCCUCUCGCCGGGGUUCUCCAUCUCGUUUGCGAACUAGCAAUUCUUUCUGCGUGCGCUUUCGUGUUCGCGUCAGUUGCAGGAACGAACGGGCCUGGUUUCGAAAUUGGAUUAGUUUAUCGUGCUAGUUGAGAUUGGUUCCGUCACCUGCGUUGCUCUUGGUGAUUUUCAGAACUCAAACGCAUGCUCUCUUGUGAUACUCUGUCAGUUCUUGUUGGCCCUCUGUCAGUUCUUGUUGGCCCUCUGUCAGUUCUUGAGUUCCAGGGUCCGUUAAUUCUUGAUUGCUUGCUGUAACCCGACUAGGCAUGUGUGCAGUCAUCCUAGGUGCAGAGACGCUUGUUCUGAUGGUAUAUACUGUUUAUGCUUGUUCUGACGGUGUAUACUGUUUAUGUUAUUUCCAAUUUGUUUCUUUUUACCAUGCUUUGCUUAUGUGUUCCGAGUUGAAAACUUUUACGAAUUACAAGAGUGCAAACCAUGUGGCCUGCUUGACUAAUUGAACACCUGUUGGACAAGGUUCCUUCUUUUCUUUCUGAUGUUGCUAUUUCCAUGUAACUGCUCAUCAUAGGAGUACUAGAUGAGGUGCUGCUAGUUAGUUCUCCUUAGACUUCCUUCUAGAUUGCAUAGCAUAACUCCAGAACUUUUUCAUUGCACACCUGGGCAUAUAUUUCUGUUGUGAGCAUAACUCCAAAAUUUAUUUAUCCAUGGGAUGGAAGCACGUUCACCACAUGUUCUUUUAUCAAUGCUACUAACUUCUGUCAUGUCCCUUUCCUUCGGACAACAAUUUCAACGAACCUCUAACGUGGACAUGUGUUGCUUGUUUUCUUGUUUUCUUAUAUCCAGUUGACUAGCACAACUUAUGUUGUGACAUUUGUUAAUCCCCAGUUAGUGUGCCUGAAAAAUUAUUGUUUGUCCUGUUAAAUCUUGUGGCAUCAACUCGGUAUUGUGAUUAAUGACCUAGUAUUUGUUUAGUGUAGACAGCUAACUUCUUUUUUCUUAAAUUUUUAGUGAUAUGCGUGUUUUGUUAUGUCUUAUGUUGAUAGUAUAUUCUUCUUUUUCGUAUUACUCAUGUCCAGGUACUGGAAUAAUGCUUUUCUUCAUUUGCCUAGACUUUGUGACAAUUAAUUUAUAGUGCGAUCAUUGAGCUUCUAACAUCCCAUUGCGUAAAAUUCUGUUGUAAUGUUUGUUGGAUCAUUGAGUAAUUAAUUGAUUCUGAGUUUGUUAGAUCAUUGAACUUCUGCGUGCGCUUCUGUUAUCUGAGAGACACUCACGAUCCUGUGUUUCGUGUUUGCGGCGGAGCGAUGAACGGUUACGUUUUGUGUUCCUGCGUUUCGUGUUUGCGGCGGAGCGAUGAAUGAUUACGAUUCGUGUUCCUACGUUUCGUGUUCGCCGUUCUGGUUUGAAGGAUUACAGAGGUAGGGAGAGGCCAAAGCAAGGUUAGUUUUAGAUUGUUUCCGUCGCUGCGUUGUUCGUCGGCGAUUUCCAGACCUCAAACGCAUGCGCCCGUGUGAUACUCUGGUUUGGCUCACUGGUCGUUACGGUUGUUCUUAUGUUCUUGAAAAACCCCAUCUUAUACGCAGAGAUGGGGUGAUUCGUUAUGGUUCUUCUGAUGGUUGCUUAUGUUCUUUCGAAUUGGGUUCUUUUUGUAAUGCUUUGCUUAUGUUCCCAAUGUCUGUUUUUCCAUAUACGGGGAUGUGUUCAGAGGUGCAAACCGUGUAGGCUGUGCUAUGGUGUGUUUUAUAGAUGUGGAACGUAGAAAUAUUGAUAUCAGUUCUGUGCUAGUAUACUAGAUAUGGUGUGUUUUAUCCAAGUUAUUAACCACAUCUCUUAAAUUUUUUCCUUGAGAUGGUACAUGUUUAUAUGACAGGAGUGAUUGAUGCCCUGACGAAUAUAAUCAUUUAUGUUAACUUGGUAUUGGUAUUUCCUGAUCAUAGGUAACACACCAGUACUAGUUUAAUGCAGACAACUGACUAUUCUUUUUAUGUGAACUUUUUUGUGAUAUUUGUGUUAUGUGGAUAUCAUAUCCUAAUGCUUUUCUAAGUAGUUAAGGUACAAACUUGUGGAUCUGGACAUGUCACAUUUGCUCUUUAUUGUGUUGCUAAGGACACUGAACGUUCUGGCUGGGCCAAAUCAGGAAGUGUUUCUAUGGAUCAAAUCUGUAAUGGAAGAGAAUGGGAGUAACAUUACAACUGACCAACUUAAAGAUUAUGUAUGGAAGACACUGAAGAGUGGAAAGGUUGUAGUGAUUAGAGAGAAGCUUUCAGGACUUUAUGGAUCUGAACAACAAUGGUUGAGAGCAACACAAAUGCUUAGUGGCAUUGAGUUGGACUCAGGAAUCAGGAUGCUUGAUGACACAAACAAAUUAUCCAAGUGUGUCCAGAUUGCAUGACUCUAUUUGGAGUGAAUGCUGAAGCUUUUAUCAACAAAGCCUCGUUUUUGGUCACAAACAACAACCAGGAAGUUCUGAACUUACAAUACAAGGUCCGCUAUGCGAAAAUUUUAGAUCUAAAGCGUAAAUUCUUGGAAGCUGCACUUCGAUACUCUGGUAUCUCUCAAAUUGAGCAGCGCCAAAUUGGGGAUGAGUGCAGACAUGUGGAUCUGGACAUGUCACAUUUGCUCUUUAUUGUGUUGCUAAGGACACUGAUGGGUUGGUUUUGCAUACAACGCAGUAUGGACCAACAAAAUGAUCUCAUUGCAAGGCGGACAUAUAGGCAACCAAUGUCAAGAGAGGUGGCAUAAUCAUCUGAAUCCAGACAUACAAAGAGAUGCUUGGACUAUUGAGAGGAGGAACAUGCACUGAUUAACGUCCAUCGGGUACAUGGGAAUAAAUUGGCAGAAAUAGCAAAAGUUCUUCUUAGAAGCUAAAGUCAAAGACGACAAACCAAGUGAAUUAAUGGAGUUGCAAGAUACAUAGAAUCAUCGGCUAGCCAUCGGCUUGGGAGCGAUAAGAGGCAACCACUGUUGUCAACUUGAAACGUAUAAUUUUUUAGGAGCGAAGAUCUGAAUCACCGCCUCGAGAGAAAUCAGUUUAGUCAUCCAUGUUCUGAAAUUUAUUUAUAGCUUUCAGAGUUUACUUCGGUCUUGCAUGUAUUUGCUUUCUGUUUGUGCCCCUAUCUAUGUAUGUUCCUUUUGUUGUGUGCAAGCGCUUCAUUUUGUGUGUGUGACUGUCUGACUGUGUGUGGUUUGACUUUGUGACUAUGUGUGUGACUCUAUACGAAUAUUGCAUUUGAUUAUGAUGUGUGACUGUGUGUGUUUGACUGUGUGUAUGUGUGACUGUGUGACUAUUGCGCAUUUGACUGUGAUGUGUGACUAUGUGUGUGUGUGACUCUGUGAAUAUUCAUUUGACUGUGACUUGGUGUUUGUGUGUGUGUGACUGUGUGUGGCUUGACUGUGUGUGUGGCUUGUAUACUUUGCUAAAUGAUUGGUUGUU
Triticum aestivum (bread wheat) is the source of this 3951-nucleotide long non-coding RNA. RefSeq lists it as uncharacterized. The transcript has 12 exons. The record is from RefSeq and is a predicted model, not a curated record. NCBI's taxonomy places the organism in Eukaryota, Viridiplantae, Streptophyta, Magnoliopsida, Poales, Poaceae.